UACGAAGGGGGCUAGCGUUGUUCGGAAUCACUGGGCGUAAAGGGCGCGUAGGCGGCCGAUCAAGUCGGGGGUGAAAGCCUGUGGCUCAACCACAGAAUUGCCUUCGAUACUGUUUGGCUUGAGACCGGAAGAGGUUAGUGGAACUGCGAGUGUAGAGGUGAAAUUCGUAGAUAUUCGCAAGAACACCAGUGGCGAAGGCGGCUGACUGGUCCGGUUCUGAUGCUGAGGCGCGAAAGCGUGGGGAGCAAACAGG
RNAcentral lists this ribosomal RNA (253 nucleotides) under uncultured bacterium. Its description in RNAcentral is "partial 16S ribosomal RNA". It matches the Rfam family "Bacterial small subunit ribosomal RNA", at positions 524 to 776 of the family's 1533-position model. The record is from RNAcentral.